AUUGAACGCUGGCGGCAGGCCUAACACAUGCAAGUCGAACGGUAACAGGAAGCAGCUUGCUGCUUUGCUGACGAGUGGCGGACGGGUGAGUAAUGUCUGGGAAACUGCCUGAUGGAGGGGGAUAACUACUGGAAACGGUAGCUAAUACCGCAUAACGUCGCAAGACCAAAGAGGGGGACCUUCGGGCCUCUUGCCAUCGGAUGUGCCCAGAUGGGAUUAGCUAGUAGGUGGGGUAACGGCUCACCUAGGCGACGAUCCCUAGCUGGUCUGAGAGGAUGACCAGCCACACUGGAACUGAGACACGGUCCAGACUCCGACGGGAGGCAGCAGUGGGGAAUAUUGCACAAUGGGCGCAAGCCUGAUGCAGCCAUGCCGCGUGUAUGAAGAAGGCCUUCGGGUUGUAAAGUACUUUCAGCGGGGAGGAAGGGAGUAAAGUUAAUACCUUUGCUCAUUGACGUUACCCGCAGAAGAAGCACCGGCUAACUCCG
This 488-nucleotide ribosomal RNA is filed under the name uncultured bacterium. Its description in RNAcentral is "partial 16S ribosomal RNA". It matches the Rfam family "Bacterial small subunit ribosomal RNA", at positions 30 to 505 of the family's 1533-position model. The record is from RNAcentral.